UCCGGUCCCUCCCGAACCUGAAGCAGGCGGCUCUCUUCGGGCUGAAAUCCGGCGGGCGCAGGGGCGGAGCGACGUGCAUGGCGACGUACAAGGUGAAGCUGCUAACUCCGGAGGGAGAGGUGGAGUUCGAUUGCGCCGACGACGUGUACAUCGUGGACCAGGCGGAGGAGGCCGGGAUAGAUCUGCCCUACUCGUGCCGCGCGGGGUCGUGCUCCUCGUGCGCCGGCAAGGUCGUCAGCGGCAGCGUCGACCAGUCCGACGGCAGCUUCCUCGACGACGAGCAGAUGGACUCCGGCUGGGUGCUCACCUGCGUCGCCUACCCAACCUCCGACGUCGUCAUCGAGACUCACAAGGAGGAGGAGAUCGCCUAAUUCAUCAUUUCAUUUCUCUCUCUCUCUCUCUCUCACAUGAGUCACGGACUGAUUUCAUAAUAAGUAAGAUACAAUUUGUUUUGUUGUAUAAUUUUGAUUUAAACGUCUUUGCAACUCCACUUGUUUCUCAUAUAUGUCUUCUCUCUCUCUUCUUUUCGUGUCUAUUUCUUUACUGUUAGCUGACGAUGUUUAGUUCUAAAGAUAUCCAUCCGUCUCAAGUUGUUAAAUUAUCUUCAUGGAUUCAUGGCGUUCAACUUCGCUUUAAAUCUUAAUUAAGAUCUAUAUUGUUUCAUAUUUUUAUAUGCUGCGUAUAU
RNAcentral lists this long non-coding RNA (685 nucleotides) under Salvia miltiorrhiza (redroot sage). RNAcentral's name for it is "long non-coding RNA (SMIL_LNC005883)". Lineage: Eukaryota; Viridiplantae; Streptophyta; Magnoliopsida; Lamiales; Lamiaceae. The record is from RNAcentral.